This 460-nucleotide ribosomal RNA is filed under the name uncultured bacterium. Its description in RNAcentral is "partial 16S ribosomal RNA". It matches the Rfam family "Bacterial small subunit ribosomal RNA", at positions 338 to 795 of the family's 1533-position model. The record is from RNAcentral.
CCUACGGGCGGCAGCAGUGAGGAAUAUUGGGCAAUGGGCGCAAGCCUGAACCAGCCAAGUCGCGUGAGGGAUGACGGUCCUAUGGAUUGUAAACCUCUUUUGUCGGGGAGCAAGGCCCGCCACGUGUGGCGGGAAGGAGAGUACCCGAAGAAAAAGCAGCGGCUAACUCCGUGCCAGCAGCCGCGGAAAUACGGAGGAUGCGAGCGUUAUCCGGAUUCAUUGGGUGUAAGGGGUGCGUAGGCGGGCAUUUGAGCCGGCGGUCAAAUGUCGGGGCUCAACCCCGGCCUGCCGUCGGAACUGGGUGCCUUGAGUGGGCGAGAGGUAUGCGGAAUGCGUGGUGUAGCGGUGAAAUGCAUAGAUAUCACGCAGAACCCCGAUUGCGAAGGCAGCAUACCGGCGCCCUACUGACGCUGAGGCACGAAAGUGCGGGUAUCGAACAGGAUUAGAUACCCUUGUAGUC